GCCACAUGAUGUUUUAUAGAUUACAAUAGCAUUCUGUGCAAAGAUGACGUUCUACCUAUCACCCGAGACUGAUGGCA
Small nucleolar RNA from Pygocentrus nattereri (red-bellied piranha), 77 nucleotides. Its record names the gene SNORD83. It matches the Rfam family "Small nucleolar RNA SNORD83". Rfam says of the family: U83 (SNORD83) and U84 (SNORD84) are members of the C/D class of snoRNA which contain the C (UGAUGA) and D (CUGA) box motifs. The record is from Ensembl. Lineage: Eukaryota; Metazoa; Chordata; Actinopteri; Characiformes; Serrasalmidae.